GACGAACCGUGCGAACGUUAUUCGGAAUCACUGGGCUUAAAGCGCGUGUAGGCGGGCGGGAACGUCGGUCGUUGAAAGCCCCCGGCUCAACCGGGGAACGGGCGCCGAAACGACCCGCCUCGAGGGACGUAGGGGGACCUGGAACUUCCGGUGGAGCGGUGAAAUGCGUAGAGAUCCGGAAGAACACCGGUGGCGAAGGCGGCCUGCUGGGCAGUUGCUGGACACUGAGGCGCGACAGCGUGGGGAGCAAACAGGG
This 256-nucleotide ribosomal RNA is filed under the name uncultured bacterium. RNAcentral's name for it is "partial 16S ribosomal RNA". It matches the Rfam family "Bacterial small subunit ribosomal RNA", at positions 524 to 777 of the family's 1533-position model. The record is from RNAcentral.